GCCUGGGUGGCUCAGUCGGUUAAGCGUCUGACUUCAGCUCAGGUCAUGAUCUCAUGGUCCGUGGGUUCGAGCCCUGUGUCAGGCU
RNAcentral lists this transfer RNA (85 nucleotides) under Felis catus (domestic cat). It matches the Rfam family "tRNA". Rfam says of the family: Transfer RNA (tRNA) molecules are approximately 80 nucleotides in length. Their secondary structure includes four short double-helical elements and three loops (D, anti-codon, and T loops). Further hydrogen bonds mediate the characteristic L-shaped molecular structure. tRNAs have two regions of fundamental functional importance: the anti-codon, which is responsible for specific mRNA codon recognition, and the 3' end, to which the tRNAs corresponding amino acid is attached (by aminoacyl-tRNA synthetases). tRNAs cope with the degeneracy of the genetic code in two manners: having more than one tRNA (with a specific anti-codon) for a particular amino acid; and 'wobble' base-pairing, i.e. permitting non-standard base-pairing at the 3rd anti-codon position. Lineage: Eukaryota; Metazoa; Chordata; Mammalia; Carnivora; Felidae. The record is from Rfam by way of RNAcentral.